Molecule: long non-coding RNA, 232 nt
Filed under: Marmota monax (woodchuck)
Lineage: Eukaryota; Metazoa; Chordata; Mammalia; Rodentia; Sciuridae
Source: RNAcentral
AUUGUUGUUUGGAGCUGGCAAAAUAUUGGGCCCAGAGAUCCAGCCUAUUGUCCCGUUUUGAUGAUGGGAUUAAGUUGGACAGAGAGGGCUGGUUUUCAGUCACACCUGAGAAGAUUGCUGAACAUAUUGCUGGCCGUGUCAGUCAAUCCUUCACAAGUGACAUUAUAGUAGAUGCAUUCUGUGGAGUUGGAGGAAAUACCAUUCAGUUUGCCUUAACAGGAAAAAAGAGUGA